GACGAACGCUGGCGGCGUGCUUAACACAUGCAAGUCGAACGGAAAGGCCCUGCUUUUGUGGGGUGCUCGAGUGGCGAACGGGUGAGUAACACGUGAGUAACCUGCCCUUGACUUUGGGAUAACUUCAGGAAACUGGGGCUAAUACCGGAUAGGAGCUCCUGCUGCAUGGGGGGGGUUGGAAAGUUUCGGCGGUUGGGGAAGGUCUCGCGGCUUAUCAGCUUGAUGGUGGGGUAGGUGCUUACCAAGGGUUUGACGGGUAGCCGGCGUGAGAGGGUGACCGGCGCCACUGUGAGUGAGACAGGGUCCAGACUACUACGGGAGGCAGCAGUGGGGAGUAUGCCGCAAUGGGCGAAAGCCUGACGGAGCAACGCCGGGUGAGUGACGACGGUCUGCGGAUCGGAAAACUGUGUUAGUAGGGAAGAACAUAUGUGUAAGUAACUGUGCACAUCUUGACGGUACCUAAUCAGAAAGCCACGGCGAACUACGUG
Molecule: ribosomal RNA, 488 nt
Filed under: uncultured bacterium
Lineage: Bacteria
Description: partial 16S ribosomal RNA
Rfam family: Bacterial small subunit ribosomal RNA
Source: RNAcentral